UAAACGCGAAGUUUUAAAAAUAAAGUAGUUUACGAAUUAAGACGUUAAUUUAGUAUUUAUUUGUAUUAUAGAUCGUACGGGUAUUUGGAUUGGAGAAAUAGAGAAUUUGGAGGGUUAAAUAACGGGCUAUUUUAUUGUGCUUUAUGAAAUUUGGAUUAAGCGAUCGAGUGUUUUCUUUCAGGAUUAAUAUACGAUGAUGUGGUCGAGCUUCCAUUCGUUGUUUCGGAAGUCUCAGUCAUGGGAGGUCUUAUUCUUCUUAGAGCUGCAGUAGUCAUGAUAGUAGACCUAGCUAGUAGCAGACGAUUUAUAUUUAUAUUAUGACUUGCUAAAAUGAUGUAUUUUGGAAAAAUGAAUUAUCCAGGGAUUUAAUAUAUGGUUAAUUGGUAUUUUAUACA
Long non-coding RNA from Mercurialis annua (annual mercury), 395 nucleotides. RefSeq lists it as uncharacterized. The transcript is spliced from 2 exons. The record is from RefSeq and is a predicted model, not a curated record. NCBI's taxonomy places the organism in Eukaryota, Viridiplantae, Streptophyta, Magnoliopsida, Malpighiales, Euphorbiaceae.